AUACAUAGGUUAGAAUGCUUUUUACAAUACCAAUGACUUGAUGCUCGUAGAUUUUUAGCUUUUGGAUGAAGAUUUGUAAGGUUGCAAUGAUAAUGAUUCUUUUACAGUUUAGUCGGUGAUCGGUGAAAUAGUAUAAUUUAAAAAGUAAAAUUGAUUAAAAAAAUAGAUUUAAUAAUAAAAAAGUUGAUAGUACCGAAUAGUUGUUGCUACUAGAAGGAU
Molecule: long non-coding RNA, 219 nt
Filed under: Ananas comosus (pineapple)
Lineage: Eukaryota; Viridiplantae; Streptophyta; Magnoliopsida; Poales; Bromeliaceae
Description: long non-coding RNA (ACOM_LNC019428)
Source: RNAcentral